CCUACGGGUGGCAGCAGUGGGGGAUAUUGCACAAUGGGGGAAACCCUGAUGCAGCGACGCCGCGUGGGUGAAGAAGUAUUUCGGUAUGUAAAGCCCUAUCAGCAGGGAAGAAAGAAGACGGUACCUGACUAAGAAGCCCCGGCUAACUACGUGCCAGCAGCCGCGGUAAUACGUAGGGGGCGAGCGUUAUCCGGAUUCACUGGGUGUAAAGGGAGCGUAGACGGCCGGGCAAGCCAGGAGUGAAAGCCCGGGGCCCAACCCCGGGACUGCUCUUGGAACUGUGCGGCUGGAGUGCGGGAGGGGCGGGCGGAAUUCCUGGUGUAGCGGUGAAAUGCGUAGAUAUCAGGAGGAACACCGGCGGCGAAGGCGGCCUGCUGGACCGCGACUGACGUUGAGGCUCGAAAGCGUGGGGAGCGAACAGGAUUAGAUACCCUGGUAGUC
RNAcentral lists this ribosomal RNA (441 nucleotides) under uncultured bacterium. Its description in RNAcentral is "partial 16S ribosomal RNA". It matches the Rfam family "Bacterial small subunit ribosomal RNA", at positions 338 to 795 of the family's 1533-position model. The record is from RNAcentral.